This is a small nucleolar RNA of Anolis carolinensis (green anole), 90 nucleotides long. Lineage: Eukaryota; Metazoa; Chordata; Lepidosauria; Squamata; Anolidae. The record is from Ensembl.
GCUGUACAGUGAUGACAACAUGGCUCCCUCUACUGAAAUCUGUUGAGGAAAACAACCAUAAAUGUUACCCUUUAUAUCUGAGUGUACAGC